CUCAGUCAUAAGGCGCUCCUCCCUCUCAUUCGUCACAGUAGCCUAUGACGUAGCCCAAAUCUAUAAUUCGCAUUCGCUUCGUCUCCGUUGUGUUGUAUCCAGGUUAGACUUGGUUUCUCGUCUUUGGGUAUAUGUUUUUCUCAGUUAAUUUAUAAUUGUCUGCUCAAAAUUCAUGAAUAAUGGCAUGGGCUGCAUUAUACUAAAUUGCUUGGUUGACAGGCGAUUUCAAUAGGGAGAAGUUGCUAUCACAUCGAUUGCUUCGAUCAGUGAAUAAUCGUUUUAGAUCCACAGUUUGGGUAUUAGAUGGAUUUAUUCACAAUUCUUAAUCUUUUGAUGGUCUAUCUUUCUGGAUGCAAAAUAAGUGCAUAAUAGUAUAAUACAUUAUAAACAUCAUAAACGGUCUUCAAAUUUUUAAUUGAACAAUUUGAAGUGUGCAAGCAAAUAAAAGAAAAACUUAUAAACUAUAAUUUUUGUUGGUAGAGGCAAUGUGGAGUACUCCCAAAUUGGGUCUGUUAGAAAUAAUUCUUUAAUAUUUUAGUGUGCAGUGCGCUAUUAUCAACAGGGUUUAUCAGAUUAUAUCUUUUGUGGGCCAAAAGCACUGAGGCUGUGCUGUGAGGUGUAUGUCUCACACAACUGAGGCAUACGCCUCCUAAAACCAUCUAACAAUCAGCGUCUUGAGGCCUUUUUUGCACGCCUCACAAGCCUUAAGGUGGAUUUCAAUUGGGUGUUUCAAACCAUGAUUAGUAUUCAAUGCAAAAGGAGAGAACAACUAGUUGUUAAUAACUGAGUAUUGAAGCAAGAGAUAGGAAAGAAAUAAAAAGCGAUUGUCCCAGCAGAGGACCGUGAUGAUAAGAUGACACACUCUUCUUGGAUGCCUUAAGGAGUUUUGUCCACACCUGGGAGGUUUAAGAUGCGAACCGUCUCAAUGUAUGAUGGAGAGGGGCUCUUGCUAAUCUCCCACACACAUAAAAUGUAAGUAACGUUGAAUGGAGCCAAUGUCGCUUGAAGUGCUGAGCUUUCAUCCUCGCGUAACUAGGAGCCACAAAUCGAUGGUUCAAAAAGUUGAGGCUUAAAAGUGUUGUUAGUUGGCCCAAGGUGUUCGUCAUGUUCAAUCCAAUAGUUGAAACGAUUUUAAGUAUUUCAAAUUUUUUUGUUAACAUGUCAAGCAAUUUUAGAGAUCACAUUACACAAUAUUUGAGACUAUGCCAAGUAGUGUUGCUUAAAAGUGAUUGAGAACACAUUAAGCAUGCAUUUGUCUUUUCUGGCAUUAUUAAGGCGGUGAUAAGUUUAUAUUUUUUUACAGGAGUUUUGAUCACUUUAAAGCAAUAUUUUUCCAUGCCAAUCAACAGGUACGCCAAGAUCAAAGUUAUGGUAGAG
Molecule: long non-coding RNA, 1377 nt
Filed under: Olea europaea subsp. europaea
Lineage: Eukaryota; Viridiplantae; Streptophyta; Magnoliopsida; Lamiales; Oleaceae
Source: RNAcentral